Molecule: long non-coding RNA, 1036 nt
Organism: Cyprinus carpio (common carp)
Lineage: Eukaryota; Metazoa; Chordata; Actinopteri; Cypriniformes; Cyprinidae
Source: Ensembl
GCCCUUCCUAUGUUACAUUCACUUCUGGUAUCCUCUGUGCUAUUUAGCUAACAAUAACAAGAGUCAUUUAGCAGGCAGAUUCACAGGGACGCCAGCCAAAAUGUUCUCCACAGAGCAUUCUCCUUUCACUCGUACUUAGGACCCCACUCUCGAAGGUCUUGCCCCGACACGCGGCACAAAACCUCAUUGUAGUACCCAGAGAUAAGGACGCCCAAUAUGGUCUGCAGUCUCUCCCCAGAGGCGCCAGCCAUAUCUCCUUCAUCUCCUCUCCACCACUACCAGCAUUGACUGAAACACCAGCUCUGAGAACAUAAAGAUCUAUGUCAUAGUAACUUAAUAUGCACACACACACAUAUCUGUCCCGUGCCUGCCCUGUCUCACCGUGGAUUAGCGCUGGUUUGUCUUCUGUGAGUGAGAGGCUGCUUAAAGUGGAGACAGUGUUCUGUCUCGGCUGCUCUCUUCUCAUGCGUGACCCUCAUGAGCUGUUUGAAGGUCAAAUGGCAGCUGAGCUUGAAGCACAGUAUCUGCUGGAGGAGGAAAGACUAAUACUCAUGGAAGUGAAAGCUGUAGUCAGUUUCUGGGAGCAAGUAUAUGCAGCAUGAAACCGGAGACAAAGACUGCAAACCUGACUGAAGAAGUUGAGAGACACUCAGCACAUGGCACACUUCAACUCAAGAUGUUGGGAGCUGUCAAAGCACCACUAUCUUUAGCAUGACGAUCUCACCCUUCUGCACAGAGUCUGCACAUGUGUGGAUCUCUUGGAGAGCUCUGUGCUCCUCUCUUCUCUGCUCUUUUCAUCUCCUUUGCCUCCUUUCAUUUCGAGCACGCCUCAUGUUGGGCUUUGUUUGCCAGCCAACACGGUGAGGUUCACACCCAGGGAGGUGGCAGAGGAAGGGGAACAGCAGGCAGGAGCCCUUUUUAAACAUGGCACUUGCGGGUGUACAGCGGCCCACCUGUGUGGAAACAUCGGGAGGCGUUGGCCCGGGUCAAAACUGAAAAUGAAGAUGAAAGCAGAGCAUUGGGAAGCCUGUUCACU